This 449-nucleotide ribosomal RNA is filed under the name uncultured prokaryote. RNAcentral describes it as "bacterial SSU rRNA". It matches the Rfam family "Bacterial small subunit ribosomal RNA", at positions 355 to 796 of the family's 1533-position model. The record is from RNAcentral.
UGGGGAAUCUUGCACAAUGGGCGCAAGCCUGUUGCAGCAACUCCGCGUGAGUGAAGAAGGCUCUUGGGUCGUAAAGCUCUUUCGACAGGGAAGAAGGGAGAUUAGGUAAAUAAUCUAAUUUUUGACGGUACCUGCAUAAGAAGCACCGGCUAACUCCGUGCCAGCAGCCGCGGUAAUACGGAGGGUGCAAGCGUUGUUCGGAAUAACUGGGCGUAAAGCGCACGUAGGCGGAUGUGUAAGUCGAUUGUGAAAUCCCCGGGCUCAACCCGGGAACUGCAGUCGAAACUACAUGUCUUGAAUGCUUGAGAGGGUAGUGGAAUUCCAGGUGUAGAAGUGAAAUUCGUAGAUAUCUGGAGGAACAUCGGAGGCGAAGGCGACUGCCUGGCAAUGCAUUGACGCUGAGGUGCGAAAGCGUGGGGAGCAAACAGGAUUAGAUACCCCGGUAGUCC